Drosophila miranda is the source of this 351-nucleotide long non-coding RNA. RefSeq lists it as uncharacterized. The transcript is spliced from 3 exons. NCBI's taxonomy places the organism in Eukaryota, Metazoa, Arthropoda, Insecta, Diptera, Drosophilidae. The record is from RefSeq and is a predicted model, not a curated record.
UCUAAUCGCUGGAAGAGUCUUUUGUGUAAACAUUUAUUAAAAAAGUUGAAAAGAAUUAAUAAAUAAAUCAAAUUAAUAUAAACAGCCAGCUGGCGUUUUGAGCGGCUUAAACUUUAUUUUGAGUGAGGAAAUUGUUCUAGCCUAUAACGUAAGGGAAGAAGGCCCUUAGGACCCACAAAGAAUUUUUUGCAGCUUUGCUAGAAUGUAUUCCGCCUGGCGAUGAGCCCCCGAAAACACUGUGCGGAAGGCAAUGCAAAGGAUGAAGAAAAGGGUGUCUAAGAAGAAGUGUCUUGCCAAAAACCAGGAGUAGGCUAAGCAUCAUAUAAUUAAAAAUUAUUCGUUAUAAUGAAA